This 28-nucleotide non-coding RNA is filed under the name Bombyx mori (domestic silkworm). The record is from RNAcentral. Lineage: Eukaryota; Metazoa; Arthropoda; Insecta; Lepidoptera; Bombycidae.
UCCAGUUUGAUACGGAUGAGAUUAGGCC